Molecule: long non-coding RNA, 1796 nt
Organism: Puntigrus tetrazona (Sumatra barb)
Lineage: Eukaryota; Metazoa; Chordata; Actinopteri; Cypriniformes; Cyprinidae
Exons: 3
Source: RefSeq, a predicted model, not a curated record
GUGAGGCGGGUGAAACGGAGGCCGCUGUAUGUGCUCUUUCUUCAGCCACAACCCCGUGGAAGAGCAUGUUUGGUGGUAGCACGUUUCUAGGUCUCUCUUUCCGAGAUAGGCGUAGUGUAUGCAAGAGUCUACUCUUCUCGCCGCCAUGACCCUGCCUUGUGUUCUUUGACGUUGAAGCUUCUAGUCUGCAGAGGCACUGGCUCGUUUCCAAAUCCUAGUGAGCUGCCUACGUAGGAAGCACUUUUAAGUCAUCACAUGUGCUCUCCUGAUAUGAAGGCUGUUCCAAAAAGGAAUCCAGCGGUCGGCUUUCUGACUGGUUGACAUCUGUUCUGCUGUCCUUGGGGCUGAGGUAGUAGAUUGAAUAGUUGUGGAGCCCUGCGCUCUCUCAUUGAGAUAACUAUACAAUCUACUGUCUUUCCUAAGGCGACAGCCAAAACAUCCACAAACAAGUGCCUGCAUUCAUCCAGUGAGGAUGAUCGCUCACGUUACAGGGUUGGGAUUGACGUGUCAUGUUGACUUCAUACGUACGCAAGCGUGUCAGGCGAUGGGAUUGCCCUUUGGUGUCUUGACAGGGUGAGGUAGUAGGUUGUAUAGUUUGGUGGGAGGGAUCAAACCCUGUUCAGGUGAUAACUAUACAGUCUAUUGCCUUCCUUGUUGUGCCAGCUGUCUGCCAGCUAGUGGAAAAUCCCUGGAGCUUAAAUAUUGCUUAAACUUUACGGCCUGCUUCACACCGCAUGAACUAUGAAUAUAACCACAGCGUGCAAACAGCGUGCUUAUUUCAGCAUCCAUGUUUUCAGGAGGCAACAUUUACGCUGUCUGCAUACACAGCAACGGAUACUGUAGUCGUCGCAAAAUAUGGCGAAAAUGCCCUACAGACCUAUUUAUCAACAGUAAUUUGCGGCAUAGCCUUUUUUGAAGCAGGAAAAGACUGAAUCAAGACGAGUUAAGCAGUUUAUCCGCACUUAAUGCUUUUUGGUUAUGUCCUGCAUAGAUUAAUAAAUAUUUGGUUGUAAAGGUCAUGUAAUUUACACUAUGAUUUAAAAGGUUUGGGGACAGUACGUUUUUUAAAUGAAUUUCAGCUAAGAUGCAUUUUAACAAUCCAAACUUACAAAUGAUUUCUCUAACAUAAAUGCCGUCCCGUUCUUUUUCUGCUCGUCUGAGAAUCCUGAAGCAUGUAGAAACUAUUGUCUAUCAGAAAUUGCUAGUAAGUUUCACAGUUAGAUACAAAAGAAAUCUCACAUUCAAUUAAACGUACAAUUUUGCAGUAGAAAUAUUAUAUAAUGCGCUCCAAUAGUGUCCGUUUGAUUCGUAACUUUGCAAAAAUCCUUCCUUUUUUACAAUCGAUAAUAAGAAGGAAUGUCUUUUGCACAACAUAUAUUAACAUGAUUUCUGAAGGAACGUGUCACGCUGAAGACUGGGGUGAUGAUGCUGAGAAUCCAGCAGCAGAAGAGCUGCGAGUGUGAAAGCACAAUGAGACUCUUACGGCUUUGUGUGUGUGUGUGUGUGUUUUGUGAACUCUUUACCUAACAAGCCUGAACAACAUCCCCUGCCAGCUUAACUUGCUGAUCUAGUAUUACAUAUGAAGAGAAAAAUCUGAUUAAAAGGGAUUUGCAGAGCUCAGAUUUAUGGCUUAAUCAAUAAUUUAGCUUUUCUGUUGGCUCGUGAUCAAACAGGAUUUUCACACAUCAUGACAGGAAGUUCAGUUUCAAUCAGACAAUGCAUGUGGCAUUUCGAUGAAUGAAAAAUAGUAUGCAUAAUAUGGUUUGGUCUAUGAAUAAAAUAGCUUUGUUCAAUAA